Molecule: unclassified non-coding RNA, 219 nt
Filed under: soil metagenome
Description: partial contains 5.8S ribosomal RNA, internal transcribed spacer 2, and large subunit ribosomal RNA
Source: RNAcentral
AACGCACGAGACCUGCGGACCUGCGGAGGGAUCAUUAAAGAGAAAACUGCCCUUUGGGUAGAUCUCCCACCCUUUGUUUACCUUACCUUUGUUGCUUUGGCAGGCCCGUCUUCUGACCACCGGCUUUAGCUGGUCCGUGCCUGCCAGAGGACCCCAAACUCUUAAUUUUAAGUUGUCCGAGUCUUAUAAAAUAGUAAAAACUUUUAACAACGGAUCUCU